AUGAAGUUAUUGAAUGAUGUUGAACUACGCAAAUGUUGUGCUAAGUUCAUAGAAACAUUUUCACGAAAUGGUUCAUGCGAUGUUGAGUUAGAUGAUCUUUUUUCCGAAUUAAGACUGCUGCAAAUGACCUUACCAGAAUCAGGUUUGCCAUUGCAUGCUAUGGAGAUUUUUGAGUUUGUUAGAGAUAUUGACUGUUUUCCAAAUGUUUUAAUUGCUUAUCGAAUUCUGUUCACUGUACCAAUGACCGUAGCAUCAGCAGAGCGUAGCUUUUCAAAGUUGAAAUUGUUAAAGAACUAUUUGAGGUCAACAAUGUCACAAGAAAGAUUAAAUGGUCUUGCUACUUUAUGUAUUGAGAAAGAUAGGUUGGAUGAAAUAAAUGUUGAUGCAAUAAUCGAUGACUUUGCUUCUAGAAGUGUUAGACGAAUUUCCAAGUUCUAG
Molecule: ribosomal RNA, 438 nt
Filed under: Triticum aestivum (bread wheat)
Lineage: Eukaryota; Viridiplantae; Streptophyta; Magnoliopsida; Poales; Poaceae
Description: partial small subunit ribosomal RNA
Source: RNAcentral